UGCUUAACACAUGCAAGUCGUACGAGAAAAGGGGGGCAACUCCCUGAGUAAAGUGGCCCACGGGUGAGUAACGCGUGGGUAACCUACCCUUAAGUUUGGGAUAACUCCGCGAAAGCGGGGUUAAUACCGGAUAACAUUUCGAUUUCCUCGGAGGUUGAAAUCAAAGGUGGCCUCUGCAUGCAAGCUAUUGCUUAAGGGUGGGCCCGCGUACCAUUAGCUUGUUGGUAGGGUAAUGGCCUACCAAGGCUACGAUGGUUAGCUGGUCUGAGAGGAUGGCCAGCCACACUGGUAUCUGAGACACGGUCCAGACUCCUACGGGAGGCAGCAGUGGG
RNAcentral lists this small RNA (332 nucleotides) under uncultured bacterium. RNAcentral's name for it is "bacterial SSU rRNA". It matches the Rfam family "Bacterial small subunit ribosomal RNA", at positions 45 to 358 of the family's 1533-position model. The record is from RNAcentral.